This 119-nucleotide small RNA is filed under the name Marmota monax (woodchuck). Lineage: Eukaryota; Metazoa; Chordata; Mammalia; Rodentia; Sciuridae. The record is from RNAcentral.
GCCAGGUGCAAUGGCGUAUGCCUGUAGUCCCCGCUACAGGCAGGGAUGCUGAGGCAGGAAGAUCCCUUGGGUUCAGGAGUUUGAGACUAGCCUGGGCAACAUAGUAGACCCUGCCUCAA